Molecule: ribosomal RNA, 367 nt
Filed under: uncultured organism
Description: bacterial LSU rRNA
Rfam family: Bacterial large subunit ribosomal RNA
Source: RNAcentral
CUUUACUAUACCUUAGCAUUGUGUUUUGACAUUAUGUGCGUAGCAUAGGUGGGAGACUUUGAAGCUUGCUCCUGGGCAAGUGGAGUCGCAAUGUGAAAUACCACCCUCAUGAUAUCGAAAUUCUAACUUAGUUCUGUGAAUCCAGAACAAGGACAUUGCUAGGCGGGUAGUUUGACUGGGGCGGUCGCCUCCUAAAAGGUAACGGAGGCUUGCAAAGGUCAGCUCAGCACGCUUGGUAACCGUGCGAAGAGUGCAAAGGCAUAAGCUGGCUUGACUGUUAGGCCAACACGCCGAACAGCGACGAAAGUCGGCCUUAGUGAUCCGGUGGUUCUGCAUGGAAUGGCCAUCGCUCAAAGGAUAAAAGGUA